AGGUCAGGACACGGUAAGGAUUGACGGACUGAGGCUCUUCUCGAUUCCGUGGAAAGUGGUGCAUCGGUCCGUUUUGGUUGGUGGAUCGAUCCGUCUGGUUAAUUCCGUUAACGAACGAGACCUCGGCACUCCGAAUAGCGCGGCGGACGUCGCGGCCUCCGGGCCGUCUUCCGCACGAGCUUCUUAGAGGGACCGUCCCCCGCCGGGGGAAGGAGGUGCGAGGCAACGACAGGUCUGUGAUGCCCUUAGAUGUUCUGGGCCGCACGCGCAUUACACUGACGCGUCCAACGGGUGACUCCCGACCCGAAGGGGCCGGGGAAUCCGCAAGGCGCGUCGUGAUGGGGAUUGAACGUUGCAAUUGUUGUUCACGAACGAGGAAUUCCUAGUAGGCGCGGGUCAUCAACCCCGCGCCGAUUACGUCCCUGCCCUUUGUACACACCAG
This 442-nucleotide ribosomal RNA is filed under the name uncultured eukaryote. RNAcentral's name for it is "bacterial SSU rRNA". It matches the Rfam family "Eukaryotic small subunit ribosomal RNA", at positions 1220 to 1672 of the family's 1831-position model. The record is from RNAcentral.